CGAAACCCYYCCUACGGGAGGCAGCAGUGGGGAAUUUUGCGCAAYGGGGGAAACCCUGACGCAGCAACGCCGCGUGGAGGAUGAAGCCCCUUGGGGCGUAAACUCCUUUCGACCAAGACGAUAAUGACGGUACUGGUGGAAGAAGCACCGGCUAACUCUGUGCCAGCAGCCGCGGUAAUACAGAGGGUGCGAGCGUUGUUCGGAAUUAUUGGGCGUAAAGGGCGCGUAGGCGGKGCCACMAGUCACUUGUGAAAUCCCCGGGCUUAACUCGGGGCCUGSAGGSGAAACUGUGGUGCUGGAGUAUGGGAGAGGUGCGUGGAAUUCCCGGUGUAGCGGUGAAWUGCGUAGAUAUCGGGAGGAACACCUGUGGCGAAAGCGGCGCACUGGACCGUAACUGACGCUGAGGCGCGAAAGCUAGGGGAGCAAACAGGAUUAGAUACCCUGGUAGUCCUAGCCCUAAACSAUGAUUGCUUGGUGUAGCAGGUACCCAAUCCUGCUGUGCCGCAGCUAACGCGAUAAGCAAUCCSCCUGGGGAGUACGGUCGCAAGGCUGARACUCAAAGGAAUUGACGG
Molecule: ribosomal RNA, 572 nt
Filed under: uncultured actinomycete
Lineage: Bacteria; Bacillati; Actinomycetota; Actinomycetes; Actinomycetales
Description: bacterial SSU rRNA
Rfam family: Bacterial small subunit ribosomal RNA
Source: RNAcentral